RNAcentral lists this non-coding RNA (177 nucleotides) under Absidia repens. Its description in RNAcentral is "Eukaryotic large subunit ribosomal RNA". It matches the Rfam family "Eukaryotic large subunit ribosomal RNA", at positions 967 to 1124 of the family's 3401-position model. The record is from Rfam by way of RNAcentral. Lineage: Eukaryota; Fungi; Mucoromycota; Mucoromycetes; Mucorales; Cunninghamellaceae.
UUUCCCUCAGGAUAGCAGAAACUCACAAAGCAGUUGUAUGGGGUAAAGUGAAUUGCUAGAGGCCUUGAGGGGAAUGUCCUUAAUCUAUUCUCAAACUUUAAAUAUGUAAGAUGCCAUUCCUUCUUAUUUUUUUUUUUUUGAAUCUUACCAAUGGUUUGAAAACACAGUACAGAAUCC